Molecule: ribosomal RNA, 774 nt
Filed under: uncultured Neocallimastigales
Lineage: Eukaryota; Fungi; Neocallimastigomycota; Neocallimastigomycetes; Neocallimastigales
Description: partial large subunit ribosomal RNA
Rfam family: Eukaryotic large subunit ribosomal RNA
Source: RNAcentral
UAUCUCUGUAGAGUCUGCAUAUCAAUAAGCGGAGGAAAAGAAACUAACAAGGAUUCCCUUAGUAACGGCGAGUGAAGCGGGAAGAGCUCAAAUUUGAAAUCUUCAAGGUUCUACCUUGACGAAUUGUAGUUUAAAGAAGUGUUUUCUGUUAGAUGAGUAGCAAAAGUUCCUUGGAAUGGGACAUCAUAGAGGGUGAGAAUCCCGUAUUUGGUUAUUCAUUCUAGCUUUGUGAUACACUUUCAAAGAGUCGGAUUGUUUGGGAAUGCAGUCCAAAAUGGGUGGUAAAUUUCAUCUAAAGCUAAAUAUUGGCGAGAGACCGAUAGCGAACAAGUACCGUGAGGGAAAGAUGAAAAGAACUUUGAAAAGAGAGUUAAACAGUACGUGAAAUUGUCAAAAGGGAAGCGUUCGACACCAGUGUUGUUUUUCCGAAAAUCAAUUACGAAUGGCUUGAUUUUGUGUUGUAUUGACCUUAUCAGCUUUCUUCACUUUUUUCGAGUCUUUCUUAAUGCACUUUUCGGUUAACAAGUCAACAUCAAUUUCUUUUGUUGUAAAAGAGUAUUCGGAAGGUGGCUUUCUUUUCGGAGAAAGUGUUUAUAGCCCUAUACUUCUACAAUCGGAGAGAUUGAGGUCUGCAGCGUAGAUCCUUCGGGGUUAGAUACACUUGUGCUAAGUUGUAGCUUUUCAUAGACAACUUGUUGACUAUGUUUAGUCAUGCGGCUUACUCGCUUGUGCUAUUUUACCUACGCUUAGGAUGUUGAACUACUGAGACAUAGA